This 434-nucleotide ribosomal RNA is filed under the name uncultured bacterium. RNAcentral describes it as "partial 16S ribosomal RNA". It matches the Rfam family "Bacterial small subunit ribosomal RNA", at positions 29 to 507 of the family's 1533-position model. The record is from RNAcentral.
AGCGAACGCUGGCGGCAGGCCUAACACAUGCAAGUCGAACGAACCUUUCGGGGUUAGUGGCGGACGGGUGAGUAACACGUGGGAACGUGCCUUUAGGUUCGGAAUAACUCAGGGAAACUUGUGCUAAUACCGAAUGUGCCCUUCGGGGGAAAGAUUAAUCGCCUUUAGAGCGGCCCGCGUCUGAUUAGCUAGUUGGUUGAGGUAAUGGCUCACCAAGGCGACGAUCAGUAGCUGGUCUGAGAGGAUGAUCAGCCACAUUGGGACUGAGACACGGCCCAAACUCCUACGGGAGGCAGCAGUGGGGAAUCUUGUGCAAUGGGCGAAAGCCUGACGCAGCCAUGCCGCGUGAAUGAUGAAUGUCUUAGGAUUGUAAAAUUCUUUCACCGGGGACGAUAAUGACGGUACCCGGAGAAGAAGCCCCGGCUAACUUCGUG